GGGGAGGUAGUGACGACCAAUAACGAUACGGGACUCAUCCGAGGCCCCGUGAUCGGAAUGAGCACACUUUAAAUCCUUUAACGAGGAUCAAUUGGAGGGCAAGUCUGGUGCCAGCAGCCGCGGUAAUUCCAGCUCCAAUAGCGUAUAUUAAAGUUGCUGCGGUUAAAAAGCUCGUAGUCGAAAUUGUGUCCUCGGCCGCCGGUUCGUCGCUCGCGACGCUAACUGGCGCGCACGCUGGACGUCCAGCCGGUACAACGAACUCGCCUACGGGGUGCUCUUAACCGAGUGUCUAGGCGGGGGCCGGCAACGUUACUUUGAACAAAUUAAAGUGCUUAAAGCAGGCUAAAUUCCGCUCGCAUACACGCGCAUGGAAUAAAUGAAUAGGACCUCCGUUCUAUUUUGUUGGGUUUUUGUGGAACGACAGACGGAGGUAAUGAUCAAUGGGUGCGGAUGGGGGCAUUCGUAUUGCGACGUUAGAGGUGAAAUUCUUGGAUCGUCGCAAGACGGACUUAAGCGAAAGCAUUUGCCAAAAACGCUUUCAUCGAUCAAGAACGAAAGUUAGAGGUUCGAAGGCGAUCAGAUACCGCCCUAGUUCUAACCAUAAACGAUGCCAGCUAGCGAUCCGCCGAAGUUACUCCUAUGACUCGGCGGGCAGCUUCCGGGAAACCAAAGCUUUCGGGUUCCGGGGGAAGUAUGGUUGCAAAGCUGAAACUUAAAGGAAUUGACGGAAGGGCACCACCAGGAGUGGAGCCUGCGGCUUAAUUUGACUCAACACGGGAAACCUCACCAGGCCCGGACACCGGAAGGAUUGACAGAUUGAGAGCUCUUUCUUGAUUCGGUGGGUGGUGGUUCAUGGCCGU
Molecule: ribosomal RNA, 860 nt
Filed under: Phosphaenus hemipterus
Lineage: Eukaryota; Metazoa; Arthropoda; Insecta; Coleoptera; Lampyridae
Description: SSU rRNA
Rfam family: Eukaryotic small subunit ribosomal RNA
Source: RNAcentral